RNAcentral lists this ribosomal RNA (456 nucleotides) under uncultured bacterium. RNAcentral's name for it is "bacterial SSU rRNA". It matches the Rfam family "Bacterial small subunit ribosomal RNA", at positions 29 to 533 of the family's 1533-position model. The record is from RNAcentral.
AACGAACGCUGGCGGCAGGCUUAACACAUGCAAGUCGAACGCCCCGCAAGGGGAGUGGCAGACGGGUGAGUAACGCGUGGGAACGUACCUUUCAGUUCGGAAUAACUCAGGGAAACUUGUGCUAAUACCGGAUACGCCCGCAAGGGGAAAGAUUUUAUCGCUGAAAAGAUCGGCCCGCGUUGGAUUAGCUAGUUGGUGGGGUAAAGCCUACCAAGGCGACGAUCCAUAGCUGGUCUGAGAGGAUGAUCAGCCACACUGGGACUGAGACACGGCCCAGACUCCUACGGGAGGCAGCAGUGGGGAAUAUUGGACAAUGGGCGCAAGCCUGAUCCAGCCAUGCCGCGUGUGUGAUGAAGGCCUUAGGGUUGUAAAGCACUUUCACCGAUGAAGAUAAUGACGGUAGUCGGAGAAGAAGCCCGGCUAACUCGUGCCAGCAGCCGCGGUAAUGUACAGUGU